Molecule: long non-coding RNA, 9037 nt
Filed under: Malus domestica (apple)
Lineage: Eukaryota; Viridiplantae; Streptophyta; Magnoliopsida; Rosales; Rosaceae
Description: long non-coding RNA (MDOM_LNC011611)
Source: RNAcentral
CAGUCGGAUACUUCUUAGUUCUUGUUGUAUAACCUCUCUCUACCCUUUGUAGUUUUCUUUCUCUUGCCGAACUUGAUAAGUAUGGGUUCAGCAACCUUCAUCGACAUCAUCAUCGCCAUCCUCUUGCCACCUCUUGGUGUCUUCCUCAAGUAUGAGUGUCGUGUGAGUGUUAAUUUCUCUUUCGAGUCCGUACUUUAUAGAUGUUGUUUGUCAUACAAACACUUAUUACAUACUAAAACUGCUUGAUUGUUGAUAAUCUGUCAUACAAACACGUAUUACGUACCAACACCGCUCGAAUCAUCAUGUCAGCGAAAUUCUAUAGAUGUAACAGUCAUACAGUGCUCGUAUAACAUCGUUGCCCUAAUUUGUAUAUGGUCUGUGUUUUUGUAUGUUUUGGAACCGAAUUUUCAUGCAGUUAUUUUUUAUGAGGAAUUUUGAUGUUUAUAUGUGGUGGAUUGAUGAUUUUCAGGCGGAAUUUUGGAUCUGUUUGGUGCUGACACUGUUUGGUUACCUCCCUGGUAUUAUAUAUGCCAUCUAUAUCCUCACCAAGUGAUCCUUUCAAUUUAUGUAAGCACCAACUUCUCUAUCGCUCAAAUAUUUCUUGUUUAUUUUUUUGUUGUAAAAGUGUGAUGCAGUAGAAAUAGGGGAUAGAGUGAAUUGGAGCCUCGAUAAUAAUCUUGUUAGAAAUUUCAACGGCUCUGUUUUGAAUUUGGAUAUGAAAAUGAAAGACUACGUAGAAAAAAAAAUAAAGUGCUUUUAAAAUGGAGCAUCGAUAAUAAUCUUGUCUUAGAAUUCAACCGGAUUUGUUUUGAAUAUAGAUAUGAAUUAUUCUAAUCUUUUUAAAGGAAUAAGACUGCCUGAUUGGUGAUUAAGCUAAUAUGCAUUUCUUAUUGGUUUAUCAACCCUACUAUGAUUUAGUUCGACAAAGAAAAAGAUGUGGGUCCACUUGAAAAUGACCUGCCCUAAUUUGAUAUAUGCCAUCUACGAGGGAAAAAGAUUUUUUCCGGAUUUUUUCUUCUAAAGUCUACUAAUUAAGUGAUCUGUACCUUUAAAAUUUGAUUUAACGGUAAAAAAAUAUUAUCAUAUUUUUUACUUUUUUUACUAGUUUCUUUGUUUGUAAUCCUUAGAUUAAAUUUUAAGGGUCUAGAUCACUUGAUCAUUGGGUUUUGGAGGAAGAUCACUUGGUCAUUGGGUUUUGGAGGAAGAAAUCCGAAGAGGAUCUCUUUCCAUUUACGAGUAGUUUGUUAUAUGCUUCACAAAGAAGGAUUAAUGACUCAUUUAACUUUCUGAUCCUUUUUAUCUUUCUUAUCGAGCAGGUGGUAAAGGAUGUGUUUCGAAGGGCAGCUAUGUCUCUUUGUUUAGGUAUCAAGGGUUUGUUUUCAACCGUUUGAUGGAUUGUACUUAUCUGGUGUAGCCAAAUGGAUGGUUGAUACUUCAUUUAUGUAGUGUGUAUCUACUGUCAUUGUUCAUUGUAUUUUUCCUAUUUUUGUUUCUUUCAUUUUGAUUUGAAUAAAUGCCUCAUAUAGUCCUAUCAUAUUUGACUAUUUCCAGCAAAAUACAAGGGGGACCACUGGGAGCACUGGGUUAUUCGGGUCGUGUGCAUACAUUGCCCUCCGUGUAGCUCCGUUAUUAUUACAUGUGACAUCUUUUAAACAAUUAACUUAAUGAAUAAAUUAUAAACUAUAGUGGAGUAAAAAUCACAUGAUAUUGUUUGUUCAUAUAACUCGUGCUUGUAGCAUUUGCAAGGCUAUAAAGUUAUUUACAAUCAAUGUUAUGCUAUAUUUUGCCCCACGACUAAAAGGGGGGACGGCCAUGUUGUCCUUUAGUCAAUUCUACAACCACGACUAAAAUUUUGUCCCACUCGCCUCUACAUUGCAAUAUACUGCUCUACCAUAAGCAGACAACGCUAUUAAAAUUUGAUCUUCUCCAAUUCCAUGUCCUAACAAGGGGCAACCCUUUUGUUUCGAUGAUUUUAGAUCUUUCUAGUCCAUCCCUUAAACCAAAACACAUUUGGCCUCCCGGUCCGGGCUCAAAUUUGAAAGAACCAGAUUGAAACCGGUUAAAAAUGAAAUAGAACGGGCCGAGCCGGGUUUUGAGAAUUUUAAAUUUAAAACCAAACCUAACCUGACCUGUUUCAAACGAUCUGAUUCGAGCUGGUUUCACGGGUCGGAGUACAAAUUUUUUUUUAGGUCAGCAAGCACAUAUGGGAGCCAUGGGAUGACCAGCGUCCGAAGGCCAACUCUCCACCUUUGCAAUCAAGAGAGAAAAAGAUCUGCGAGGUCUGCCGAAUUUCCACUAGGAUCUUCUGCUAAUCGGACCGAGCGAUAUUGUGUGCUGGAAUUGCGACACCAAGGUCCACGGCGCCAAUUCCGGAGCCUCUCUGCCACGGGUGCCAAUGACCCUGUCUCUUCAACCAAAUGGUUGAAGAUAUGAUCAAGUUCUCAACAAAUUUUCUUCAACCGAUGGCUCUUGUGGGGAGAUUAACUUUCUCUCUUCCCAACUCAAGCUAGCCAAUGUGAAAAGGACAUUAACUAACUCUCACUUUCCAACCAAAAAUAGCAGAUGUGGCAUAUAUGAUAUAGCAUGUGGGUCAUUUGUCUUCUUGUUUUCUAGCUACGUUUUUUGACAGCAAACAAAGAAAGAGUCCAAUGUAUUUAAUUUAAUUUUUUUAAUGUAUGAGUCUCAUUAACAACUAAUAGAAUACAAACUAAAAUUAAUUUUGAUUAUUUUUAGGGGUCUUUUGAUAUGGGUCUAAUUGGACUAAAAAUUAGACCUAUUUCAAAAGUCAAAAGUCACUAAAAAUUAGAUCUAUUUCAAAAGAUAGACUAUAAAAUUGGACAUCUUUCAAAUUUCCCCUAUUUAUUAAUAGUUAAUGUAACUCUAGGCUCAAUAAAAUAAUAAAAUAAAUAUUUGAGACAUCCAUUGGAAGAAAAGAAGAUUUAGCACUUGUAUUCAAUUUGACACCUCAACCAUCAAAUAAAAUGUUGACAUACUAUAUUUAACAUAUCAUUUGAAGAUGCUCUUAUACACCAAGCACCUGUCUUGGUGAUUUUAUAUUAUAUUAAUUUUAUAACUUUACAAGCUCAGCUACACUUUUCGAUGUGCAAGAGUUGUGCAUUGUUCAAGAUGGAAUUAGAAGAAACAAGUUGGGACUUAGUAAACGGUCCGGGUUCCUCAAAAUCUAUUACCCACCUUGCCCCGGUAAUUACAUGGACCCGUCCCGCCCCGGCCUAUUUUAAAUUUUGAUUUUUUUAACCCGUCUCGUACCCAGCCCGAACUGCAUAAAUCCGUCCCGACCUGGAGAUUUAGGACCCGUUUGCCCACCCUUAAUUUGGCCAGCUAAUCAAACGAACAAAUGGGAUUAUCUCAUUGGGUAAAAUGUGAAUCAAAAGUCCAAAACCAUAAUCUAAUACCAAUCUAUUGUCUUGGGAUUGGCUUUUACUCAAACCCAUGAGCCCUCAUUAUCUGUCGCAUAUGGUAAGACUGUCAAGUCUUCAAAAUGUAUGGUUCGGAGUUCCGACUUCGAAAUUGAAGACGGCUGCCUCACGUGCCUAGCACGUGCAUUUGGAUCACUCCUUGUAAUUUGUGGGCUAUAUACUUCAAGCCACCAUCGCCGCCGUUGCUUCAGUACACGUAGUGCAGUGGCAACUUACGGGCGGUUAGAUUUUCCUGACAGCCUCUUGCUCUUAAUUAACCUUUACCCGCCAUUUCAUGCUUAUGGGAACCAAGCCCCCCCACCCCACCCCACCCCACCCUAUCAAAUCAAGUCGAUGAAUGUUAUUAUUGCAAUUUGCAACACAUGUGAUGAUGUGAGCUUUCUAUAUCUAUCUAUUCUAUAUUAUUAAGGGAACAUUCAUUGUCAACUUUUUUUAUUUUUUAUUUUAUUUUAGGGAACUUUAACGAAAAGCACUCGGUACUGUUCAUUUUAACGAAAAACCUCAUUUUUACACUAAAAAGUCAAUCCUGAUACUAUUCACUUUACCCUUUAUUUUGUCCUUAUUAUUAAAACUCAAAGUUUUCAAGCCAUUUUCAUUAUUUUUCCUUUUAUUUUAUUGUGUUCUUACUUUUUAUACACAUUAUUGACAAAAAAGAAAGGUAAAAUAGUAAUUUUACACUUUUUGACAAAAUGACAAUCAUAUUUCUAUUUUUACUAUUUUAUCCUUUUUUUUUAGAAAAUGACAAUCAUAUAGUUAUUUUUCAAUUUUACCCUCACUUUUGAUACACAAUAUUUAUAUAAAGAUGACAAAAUAGAAAAAAAAUAGGAAAAAAAGUUGACAAGGAGGCGUCUCUUAAUAACACUUUUGAUACACAAUAUUUACAUUAGAAUGACAAAAUAGGAAAAAAAAAGGGAAAAAGUUGACAAUGAGGCUUCUCUUAAUAAUAGUAUAGAAAAAAAUAUGCACUUAUUAAGAGAAAGGGGAAAAAAGUUGACAAUGAGGUUUCUCUUAAUAAAACUUUUAAUACACAAUAUUUACAUAAAGAUGACAAAAUAGGAAAAAGAAAAAGGGAAAAAUUGACAAUGAGGCUUCUCUUAAUAAAAGUAUAGAAAAAAAAUAUGCACUUAUUAAGAGAAAUGUUCACACACACACAAAGCGUGUGCUCUCUGCUAGUUAUAAUGGAUAGAACUUCGCUGUUGAAAAGAUCAGCAGCCAAGUCCAGUUCUAUUAUAAUAUAGAAUGAUGCUAUCAACACAUCCCUAUUUACGAGAAAAUUUUAAUGUAUCAAGAUUACAGUUUGAUAUACCAAGUGUCAUAAUAUAAGUGGUAGCAUUUUAUUUUUUCAACUAUCUAAUCACUUAGUCUUGUAUUGUGACGCUUGGGGGGGGGGGGGGGAGGGGUGUAUUGUGACACUAAAAAAUCUCUCAAAUUCCCUUUGAUUAUUUAACUUUUUCAAAUUCUUUAAAAUCAAAUUCUAAUUCAAUACACUUGGAAUGUUAUAAAUUUCUUUAAAAUUUUAAUUGAAUACACCCGGAUUUCUAAGGAUUUUAAUAAACUAUCUUAAAAUCAUGAUCGAAUGCACAUUGAAUUUCAGAGAAUCACUUAAAUUUCUGAUUGAACACUCAUAUAUUCAUUAAAAUAAUUAAAAUCCCUUAAAUUCUCAAUUGAAUACACCCCCGUGAUAUACCAGGCCAUGCUCCAUGACACACUGAAAAGUCUUUCAUUUUUAUCUCUCAUACACCUUCUGUUAAUUGUUGUUCUUUAAUACUCUUGAAUCAUUCGAUUUAACGGCCGAAAAUUAGAAAAUCUGUAGGAAAGGUAAAAAAGAAUGUGUGGAUACACCAACAUAUAUGUAUCACACCAUUAUAGGUAAAGUUAGGUGCAACGAGUUUGCUGUCACUUACUCAAUAUGGCUUUCUAGACCACUAAUAUAAGUUUUGGAAUAAUGCUAGAGAUAUCAAAAUUUUGAACUAAAUGAUGUAGUUGUUGAUAACUGAAUUAUUGUUAAAGUGUUGAUUAAUGCGCUUAUUGCUUAUUGGUGACACGUCAUUUAAAUCGUAAAUUUAAUUUCAAAAUUUGAUCUUGUAACAUUAUAACAGCCAUGACAUGAGUUUGAGAGUCACGCAAAAUAUCAAUUGAUAGUCACAAUACCAUAAGUCAUAAGUUUCCUGUUUUAUCCUUUUACAAAAUACUUAGUUUUAUCCUUUUAUAAAAUACUUACUUUUUCAAACUAAAAACGCAUCCGUAAUUCAAAUGUGAAAAAAAAAAAAAAACAUAAAAUUUUGACAAUUCAAAGAAAUUCCAAGUUCAAAAAUUAAAAAACUUUGCAAUAACUUAUUAACAUUUAAAUUACGUUUUCUGUUGCAAAUUUAAACUUCAAUUUUUUUCGCGAUAUAAAUACGUAAAGAUCGACAACCUACCUGAAAUUUCUAUCUUCAUUUUGGAGGACUCAAUACUUAGAUAUUUUAUUAUGCAUCUGGAGGGUCCUUGUUAAGAACAAAGUUUAAAGGGUAAAUUAUAUUUUACCCUAUCAGGUUUGGGGUCGAUUUCAAUUUCUUACAAUAUCUUUAAAACAUUUCAAUUUCAUACAUCUGUUAAAAAAUCCGUUAAGUAAACCGUUAAGUGAUGACGUGACAAAGAUGGAAUCCACUUUUGUGUUGACGUGGCUGCCAAAUUUGUGCCACGUGACAAUUAUUUAUUUAUUUUAUAUACAUUAAAAUUUAUAAUAAUCUAUCUUAAUAUUAAAAAAAUAAAAAUAAAAACCCAUCUUCUUCCCUGAGCCCUUACCCUUCCUUGCAACCUAAACACCCAAUCCCACCCCACCCCCACCCCCAACCCCGCCACCAAGCCUAUUCCCCAUCCAUAAAACCUAGCCCAUUCCCCUUCCCCAAAACCCCCAAAGUUUCAUCCAUCUCACCUACCCAACCCUCCCUCCCUUCUCUCUCCACAGCCACCACUCAGAAUGCUAACCCGGAUUGGAAAACCCGAUCUGGCGCAAACUCUUGUUUGAGCCAUUGCUUACGCCGCUGGUCUCUCUAGAGAAGAUGACGGUGUUUCUCGAACUAGAUGACACAUUGGCGCACGCACAGGCCGAUCCACUACUGGAGAAAUUCGAUUUCAUAUUGCGGCCGAGGAUCGACGAAAUUUAGGGGCAAAGAGUGGGUGCAAAGGAGAUAAGAAGGGCAUGGACUUUUAGGGGUUUUGGGAAGGUGAAAAGGCUUAGUGGCGGGGUGGGUAUCAGGAAAGGGAAGAGGAAUGUGGGUGGGUUAAUCACAUUUAAAGGCAAUAAUAGAGCAGCAGAAGCACACAAACCUUCAAACCCAAAACCAAAAGGUGUGAUGCAGGAACACUUCACUAGUGUUGGGCACGGGCCGGCCGGGCCAGGCCCAAUUUUAGAGGAACCAUACCUUACUUGUUUUAAAUAGUAACAAGGCGGGGCGGGCUAAGUAGAGAGAUUUUGAGUUUUGGAAUUGGACUUAACCCGGCCCGUUUGAAACUAGCAUAUUCGGGGCAGGUCCACAGGUCCAACCUUUUUUUUUUAAUACAUCAUUUUAUAAAAUGGCGUUACAAUGUGCCACUGCACUACAGUGCACAACAACACAGAUUACACUUACACUUAUAGAAGUAUUAAAGCACAGAUUGUUGAAGCAUAAAUGUGCACAUCAGCACAUAUUAAUAUAAUCCCAAAUCACUUACACUCGAGUUGUUAAUAUAAUUCCACAUCAGCACAUAUUAAUAUAAUCCCACAUCAGCACAUAUUAACAAUGGUUAAAUUCCCAAACUGAUACUAGUUGAUGCUUAAUCCCAGAUUUCGACCCCUUCCACCCAAAUCAUUUGAACAAAAGAUUUAAAAUUGGAACAUAACAAGAUUUCAAAACCCAACAAAAUCUUUAAAUCUAGAAAACCUUAAUUUAAUUUUAAAUCCUAAAUCCCUAAAACAUAAUACCUUAAAACUGAAAAGGACUGUUAGUAGAGCUCGACUGCGCUGCAAAUAUGAGUCUGAGUCAGAUGGAGGAGAUGAUUGAUUCGUCAUUUCGAGUUGUUCGACUUCGUCGUUCGUCCCUUAGAGUUGACAGAGAUAGAGACUGAUUUCGAGAGAGUGAGUGAGAGAAAGACAUAAUAGCAACGAUUUAAGGUUACAUUAGAAAUCAAUGAGCUCCAGAUCAUCGAUCAUGAUUGCAUUCCCUAUCCCAAUUCCUUGCAUGCAUUCAAAAAUUGAAGCCACAUAAAACAAAGAAAUUCGCUAUAAAUUGAAUGAAAAAAAAAGGAGAAAGGAUUUUAGUUUCCCUAGAUCGAGGUCUGAUGAUGGCGGCGAGGAACGAAGCUGAUGAUGACGGCAGCAGAUGAAGCUGGGACAGUGAGAACGAGUCGGGAUGAGAGAUCGAGUUGGGAAAAAGGAAAACUGAGUGACUCUUUUCUGAGUAUAUGAAAACUAAGAAGACUGAAAUGAGGAUAAAACCAAUUAUUCCUUGCUAGAAAUGGGCAGGGCCGGGGGCCCGUUCCCUCCUAUUUCUAGAACCGCCCCGCCCCAUUUUGGGUUUCAAAUUUAGGAUCUGCCCCUUACCCUCCCCGACCUGCGAGUCUAGGAUCAGUUUGCCCACCCCUACACUUCACCAUCAGGGUGAGAAGAUGAUUGGUGGGAACGUGAGUGGGGUGAGGGAGGGUGGGUCGCGGGGGGUAGGUGGGUUUUGGUUUUUUUUUCUUUAAUUAAUUAUUUUUAAACUUGUAAAAUUUUUUUUGCCACGUGGCACAAUUUUGAUAGCUACGUUAGCUCUUAAUGGAUCAAUGAAUGGAAAAUGUAACAGAUGUAUUAUAUUGAAAUAAAAUAGUAGGUGAGAUAUGAGAGUGAAAGUGUUUGAAGGUAUUAUAUGAGAUUGCAAUAUAUCUCAAAUAGUUAAAGUAAUCAUGUCGGCACAUACAACACACCAGACGCACAUAUGAAACCAACACGUGUCAUCUUACCCAUUUUUAAAACGUAGCUGUAUAAUCCAUUUUCCUUUAUUCGGAAACAAAAAUAAUUAUAUUGUAUGUGCACCCAAUGGUUAGCCUCCACGUGGUUCCUUCAGCAGCAGAAGUUGCACCUCUUUAUAUAUCCUUUGCAGUUUCCGUCAAAGCAAUCGGAUACUUCUUAGUUCUUGUUGUAUAACCUCUCUCUGCCCUUUGUAGUUUUCUUUCUUUUGUAGUUUUCUUUCUCUUAUCAAACUUGAUAAGUAUGGGUAGAGCAACCUUUCUCGAAAUCGUCCUCGCCAUCCUCUUGCCACCUCUUGGUGUCUUCCUACAGUAUGAGUGUCGUGUGAGUGUUAAUUUCUCUUUCGAGUCCGUACUUUAUGGAUGUUGUCUAUCAUACAAACAUGUAUUACAUACUAAAACUGCUUGAUUGUUGAUAAUCUGUCAUAUAAACACGUAUUACGUACUAACACUGCUCGAAUCAUCAUGUCAGCGAAAUUCUAUAGAUAUAACAGUCAUACAGUACUCGUAUAACAUCGUUACCCUAAUUUGUAUCUUGUCUGUGUGUAUGUGUGUUUUGGAACCGAAUUUUAAUGCAGUUAUUUUUUAUGAGGAAUUUUGAUGUUUAUAUGUGGUGGAUUGAUGAUUUCAGG